This 73-nucleotide transfer RNA is filed under the name Dermacentor andersoni. RNAcentral describes it as "transfer RNA tryptophan (anticodon CCA)". It matches the Rfam family "tRNA". Rfam says of the family: Transfer RNA (tRNA) molecules are approximately 80 nucleotides in length. Their secondary structure includes four short double-helical elements and three loops (D, anti-codon, and T loops). The record is from RNAcentral. Lineage: Eukaryota; Metazoa; Arthropoda; Arachnida; Ixodida; Ixodidae.
GCCGCUGUAGCUCAAUUCGUAGAGCAUCGCACACCAAAUGCGAAGGUUGUGGGUUCGGUUCCCACCUGCGGCA